CGGGGAGUAGCGCAGCUCGGUAGCGCACCUGACUGGGGGUCAGGUGGUCUGGGGUUCAAAUCCCCCCUCCCCGACCA
RNAcentral lists this transfer RNA (77 nucleotides) under Candidatus Dormiibacterota bacterium. RNAcentral describes it as "tRNA-Pro". It matches the Rfam family "tRNA". From Rfam's summary of the family: Transfer RNA (tRNA) molecules are approximately 80 nucleotides in length. Their secondary structure includes four short double-helical elements and three loops (D, anti-codon, and T loops). Lineage: Bacteria; Bacillati; Candidatus Dormiibacterota. The record is from RNAcentral.